Long non-coding RNA from Gadus chalcogrammus (walleye pollock), 341 nucleotides. RefSeq lists it as uncharacterized. The transcript has 3 exons. The record is from RefSeq and is a predicted model, not a curated record. NCBI's taxonomy places the organism in Eukaryota, Metazoa, Chordata, Actinopteri, Gadiformes, Gadidae.
AUCAGACGGAGCGGGAGGAGGGUAAGCUGCUCUCCCUGCUGCUCGCACCUGUCUCCCGUAUCCACGGUUACCUGGGACACAUUCAGAAUCUGCUGCAGUGGACCAGCCGGGACCACCCGGACUGCAGCCUACUGCUGGGCUCCGAGAAGGUCCUGAGGGAGACCCUGUCCCGCUGCCACAGCAUCCUGGAGCAGGACGUCCAAUGGGAAGAGGACGCUCAUCCGACCAAUCAGAGCGGGAAAUGCUCUGGCGGCCCUCCCGCGUGCGUGUCAUCUGCUAGCUGCUGUGCGCGGAGUCAGCAGUGCCAGGGCCCAGCAGGGCCAGCGGGGCCCCCAGCCAGA